CACGUAGGGGGCAAGCGUUGUCCGGAUUUAUUGGGCGUAAAGAGCUCGUAGGUGGUUCGGUCAGUCAGGUGUGAAACCUCCAGGCUCAACCUGGAGACGCCACUUGAUACUGCUGUGACUGGAGUCCGGUAGGGGAGCGUGGAAUUCCUGGUGUAGCGGUGAAAUGCGCAGAUAUCAGGAGGAACACCAGCGGCGAAGGCGGCGCUCUGGGCCGGUACUGACACUGAGGAGCGAAAGCGUGGGUAGCAAACAGG
Molecule: ribosomal RNA, 254 nt
Filed under: uncultured bacterium
Lineage: Bacteria
Description: partial 16S ribosomal RNA
Rfam family: Bacterial small subunit ribosomal RNA
Source: RNAcentral